This 372-nucleotide ribosomal RNA is filed under the name uncultured organism. Its description in RNAcentral is "partial 16S ribosomal RNA". It matches the Rfam family "Bacterial small subunit ribosomal RNA", at positions 527 to 896 of the family's 1533-position model. The record is from RNAcentral.
GUAGGUGGCGAGCGUUGUCCGGAAUUAUUGGGCGUAAAGCGCGCGCAGGGCGGUCCUUUAAGUCUGAUGUGAAAGCCCACGGCUCAACCGUGGAGGGUCAUUGGAAACUGGGGGACUUGAGUACAGAAGAGGAAAGCGGAAUUCCAAGUGUAGCGGUGAAAUGCGUAGAGAUUUGGAGGAACACCAGUGGCGAAGGCGGCUUUCUGGUCUGUAACUGACGCUGAGGCGCGAAAGCGUGGGGAGCAAACGGGAUUAGAUACCCUGGUAGUCCACGCCGUAAACGAUGAGUGCUAAGUGUUAGGGGGUUCCGCCCCUUAGUGCUGCAGCUAACGCAUUAAGCACUCCGCCUGGGGAGUACGGCCGCAAAGGCUG